CAGACUGUUGAGUGUCCAAGAGAUGCCUCCUUGGUGCCUGGGACAGUGUCUGAUACAAGAAUGAUGUCAGAAUGGAAGUAAAUUUGUUGCAGGAAGACCCCUUCCAGGGCCUGAGAGCGGACACUUGUCGAACACUCGGAAAUGAAUUGCCCGAGGAGACACACAUGCUGACAAAGCAGGAGACUUUAUUGGGAAGGGGCGCCCGGGCAGAGAGCAGGAAGGACAUCCAGUCAUCCGCUGAGAACUGAAGAACGGCUUGAUGUUGGGAAACAUGCCAGGAGCCCCAGCGUGGGUUUAAACUGGCUCACUCUGCUGUGUGCAGGCUGAAGGGGGGUCGGUGGGAAUCAGGAAGACCAGGCAGGAGGCGCAUCCUGGAGCAGGACUUAAACCCCAACAAAUGGAAGAUGUUAACUACUUGAUGAAGCAUUCUUCAUUCCAGAGAGAAGGUCACAGUUUGAUAAACUCGAGAACCACAGAAACACAUCAGGAGACCACCUGAGGCCAGGUUAAAGGAGUGAAGGCUCUGCACACACCCUGUUCCUUAUCGGCAACCUCUCCCCUGAGCCACUGCUAUAGAACUCAUCAAAUCCCCCUGGGCUUGGGACACACAGAAGGCAUGAGCCCACCGUGUCCCCCUUUGCCUGGCAAGGCUGUAAAGCUGUUCUCUUCUACUUCACCUGAACUCUGUCUCCGAGAUUUGAUUUGGCACUGGUGCACAGAAGACGAGUUUCCACAUCAAACCCAGCAAGGAGGGUGACGUCAGUGGCCUUGGUGGGAGGGGACACAGGCUCAGGGCUGGAGUCAUCUGAAGAGUCACCACCUCACGUGCCUCUGGGACGGUCACAAGGAGGCUCCAGAUGGCCUCAGUGCAGCUUUGGCUUCCUCACAGCAGGGAGGCUGCCUUUCAAAGGAGACGGUCCCAAGAGAGACAGAGCCGUUGCCAACUCCAACAGUCAUGUCCCCCAUGACGUCUGGGGACACAGAAGUCCCUGAUUCUUUUAGUGCUUCUUCUGCCAGUAACCUCCCUGGGGAAGAUCCUUCACUCCGGGCUUGGAAUGUACACAUGAUGGCUGGAGCUGGAGCAGUCACCAUGGACCAUGAGGUAAUCUUGGGAAUGGAAGCCGCACACAGCUGAGC
Physeter macrocephalus (sperm whale) is the source of this 1137-nucleotide long non-coding RNA. RefSeq lists it as uncharacterized. The record is from RefSeq and is a predicted model, not a curated record. NCBI's taxonomy places the organism in Eukaryota, Metazoa, Chordata, Mammalia, Artiodactyla, Physeteridae. The transcript is spliced from 6 exons.